This 85-nucleotide transfer RNA is filed under the name Felis catus (domestic cat). It matches the Rfam family "tRNA". From Rfam's summary of the family: Transfer RNA (tRNA) molecules are approximately 80 nucleotides in length. Lineage: Eukaryota; Metazoa; Chordata; Mammalia; Carnivora; Felidae. The record is from Rfam by way of RNAcentral.
GCCUGGGUGGCUCAGUCGGUUGAGCAUCUGACUUUGGCUCAGGUCAUGAUCUCGAGGUUUGUGAGUUCGAGCCCCGCAUCAGGCU